CGCGUAGGUAAUCUACCCUCUGGCGGGGGACAACAUUCCGAAAGGAAUGCUAAUACCGCAUAAGACCACGCUCACUACGGUGAAAGCGGUUAAAGGUGCCUCAAAGCACUACCAGAGGAUGAGCCUGCGUCCCAUCAGCUAGUUGGUGAGGUAACGGCUUACCAAGGCGAAGACGGGUAGCUGGUCUGAGAGGAUGAUCAGCCACACUGGCACUGGAACACGGGCCAG
RNAcentral lists this ribosomal RNA (228 nucleotides) under uncultured bacterium. Its description in RNAcentral is "partial 16S ribosomal RNA". It matches the Rfam family "Bacterial small subunit ribosomal RNA", at positions 114 to 334 of the family's 1533-position model. The record is from RNAcentral.